AUUGAACGCUGGCGGCAGACCUAACACAUGCAAGUCGAGCGGAUGACGGGAGCUUGCUCCUUGAUUCAGCGGCGGACGGGUGAGUAAUGCCUAGGAAUCUGCCUGGUAGUGGGGGACAACGUUUCGAAAGGAACGCUAAUACCGCAUACGUCCUACGGGAGAAAGCAGGGGACCUUCGGGCCUUGCGCUAUCAGAUGAGCCUAGGUCGGAUUAGCUAGUUGGUGGGGUAAUGGCUCACCAAGGCGACGAUCCGUAACUGGUCUGAGAGGAUGAUCAGUCACACUGGAACUGAGACACGGUCCAGACUCCUACGGGAGGCAGCAGUGGGGAAUAUUGGACAAUGGGCGAAAGCCUGAUCCAGCCAUGCCGCGUGUGUGAAGAAGGUCUUCGGAUUGUAAAGCACUUUAAGUUGGGAGGAAGGGCAGUAAGUUGAUACCUUGCUGUUUUGACGUUACCGGCAGAAUAAGCACCGGCUAACUCUGUGCCAGCCGCCGCUGUAA
RNAcentral lists this ribosomal RNA (500 nucleotides) under uncultured bacterium. RNAcentral's name for it is "partial 16S ribosomal RNA". It matches the Rfam family "Bacterial small subunit ribosomal RNA", at positions 30 to 523 of the family's 1533-position model. The record is from RNAcentral.